ACGACUCUCGGCAACGGAUAUCUCGGCUCACGCAUCGAUGAAGAACGUAGCAAAAUGCGAUACUUGGUGUGAAUUGCAGAAUCCCGUGAACCAUCGAGUUUUUGAACGCAAGUUGCGCCCGAAGCCACUCGGCCGAGGGCACGUCUGCCUGGGCGUCA
This 158-nucleotide ribosomal RNA is filed under the name Inula sp. cdT17. Its description in RNAcentral is "5.8S ribosomal RNA". It matches the Rfam family "5.8S ribosomal RNA". Rfam says of the family: 5.8S ribosomal RNA (5.8S rRNA) is a component of the large subunit of the eukaryotic ribosome. Lineage: Eukaryota; Viridiplantae; Streptophyta; Magnoliopsida; Asterales; Asteraceae. The record is from RNAcentral.